RNAcentral lists this transfer RNA (81 nucleotides) under Hydnum rufescens UP504. RNAcentral describes it as "tRNA-Gly". The record is from RNAcentral. Lineage: Eukaryota; Fungi; Basidiomycota; Agaricomycetes; Cantharellales; Hydnaceae.
GCACUAGUGGGGUAGUGGUAACCUUGGUCGUUGCCAUUUGAUAAGCUCGACUAGCCUCGUGUUCGAUUCACGACUAGUGCA